GAUGAAGAACGUAGCGAAAUGCGAUACGUAAUGUGAAUUGCAGAAUUCAGUGAAUCAUCGAAUCUUUGAACGCAUAUUGCGCUCUCUGGUAUUCCGGAGAGCAUGCUCGUUUGAGUAUCAGUAAACACCUCAACUUCCAUAUCUUUUUUGAAAUGGGAGUUGGACUUGAGUGAUCCCAACGCUUUUCCUCACCGAAAAGUGGCGGGUUACUUGAAAUGCAGGUGCAGCUGGACUUUUCUCUGAGCUAUAAGCAUAUCUAUUUAGUCUGCCUAAAAACAGAUUAUUACCUUUGCUGCAGCUAACAUAAAGGAGAUUAGUUCUUGUGCUGACUGAUGCAGGAUUCACAAAGACAGGCUUCGGCCGACUUUGUAAACUCGAUCUCAAAUCAAGUAAGACUACCCGCUGAACUUAAGCAUAUCAAUAAGCGGAGGA
RNAcentral lists this unclassified non-coding RNA (432 nucleotides) under soil metagenome. Its description in RNAcentral is "partial contains 5.8S ribosomal RNA, internal transcribed spacer 2, and large subunit ribosomal RNA". The stretch from base 1 to 120 matches the Rfam family "5.8S ribosomal RNA", at positions 35 to 154 of the family's 154-position model. The record is from RNAcentral.